Long non-coding RNA from Gopherus flavomarginatus (Mexican gopher tortoise), 2255 nucleotides. RefSeq lists it as uncharacterized. Lineage: Eukaryota; Metazoa; Chordata; Testudines; Testudinidae. The record is from RefSeq and is a predicted model, not a curated record. The transcript has 2 exons.
AACCCAGCAGCCCCACCCUGCCGCUUGCCCGCAGGCCGCACAGUGAGCCCAGACAGGCCACAUGUUGUGCAGGCCUGAUCAAUAGAGCAUCCAUUUGGGAGCUGAAAUUAUUUUUAAUUCUAUUAUGAUUUCCAAUAGCUGAUGCUGUUUCACCCUAUAGACUUCUUCAUGUUUUUGCAAAGGGCUGUUAUAUAUGUGAUUUAUAAUGUUGUUGUAACCAGAACUAGAGUGUUUAUCAUAAAAAAUACUUAGCCCUUACAUAGUCAAUAGUAUUAGUUAUGCUGGUAGCAUAUCCAUCUACAGACACCAGAGAUAUAGUUGUGGUAAAAUUAUCAUUGCUGGGUACCCUAGUGGAAGAAGUAAAUGACUGCAUGUCUGGUGAAAGCUUGUAUAAAAUCUGUCUCCAGCCUUUCGUACUAAAUGGAGUCAGGCAAUCUAUAUUGAUCUUGCUUUUUUUCAUUCUUUGAAAUUGGAUUUUGCUUCAGGGAAGGACAAGCACAUUUGUAUACUGGAACACUUGUGACAAUUUUAUCCGUAUAUAAAACAGUUCCAUUAACUUUUCCUGUUAACAGCUAAAAACUGCAUUGCAAGGUGAAGAGAGAGUAAUAAGAAAGAACAAGCUCCAUUGUUAAAUAAUAAACUACAGUUUUGUAUAUACAGAACAAAUCCUAUCCCGACUUGUCAGAAUUUUUCACUGUAGCUCUUGUAGUUACAGUACUUCGUAACAAUUCGCCAUGAAAAGCAUUUGGCAAAUCCCAGAAGCCUCAAGCUGCCUCUCUCCAUGAUCAGUUAUUUCUGUUUCUGACUAAAUAUCUCACAAGGUUAGUUUUCUUAAUAAUAAUAAUUUUUAAAAAAGGCUGAAAUUACACAGAUGAAAAAAGGAGCUGAAUGGUGGCUAUCUGUCUGCUUCAGCAUUCCUUCCUUAUCAUGUAUUUCAUGUAUACCAUAUGUGGUGAUGCUGUGAGUAAGGUCAGUUUAAAGUAGGAGAGUUUGCAGAGCCAUUUGGCAUCUGGUUUAUGCAAAAGUAGUAAAUCUUGCCACUCUACAUUAUGGUGCAUGAAACGUUUCUGUAACAAUUUCAUUAUGUAAAUUUGUAAUGAAUGUUAACUACAUCAUUAUAGCAUCACAGGAUACUGUAGUUCUGGUUGAAGAGGCACUUUUAGUAUAAGCCUUUAUUUUCAAGUACUUACAAUUUUUUUUCAAAAAGCAAUACUUUAGGGCAGCGGUAGGCCACCUAAAGCAUGGGUGCCGAAGGCGGCACACGAGCUGAUUUUCAGUGGCACUCACACUUCCUGGGUCCUGGCCACUGGUCCGGGGGGCUCUGCAUUUUAUUUUAGUUUUAAAUUAAGUUUCUUAAACAUUUUAAGAACCUUGUUUACUUUACAUACAGCAAUAGUUUAGUUAUUAUAGACUUAUAGAAAGAGACCUUCUAAAAAUGUUAAAUGUAUUACUGGCACGCAAAACCUUAAAUCGGAGAAUAAAUGAAGACUCGGCACACCACUUCUGAAAGAUUGCCAACCCCUGCUUUAGGAGCUUCAGUUCACUGUUUGUCUGUCUGUCUUCCUCCCUCCCCCAGUUUACUUUGUAUGGUCACCCAUACCAACAAGUUUCUUACAAAUAAAUGUAAUUCCAUAGUCAAGAUUGUUUGUAACCUUUCCUGAUGUCUAACUGUUUGUUUAUUUAAAGGAACACAAUGAAGUAAUUUGGUCCCUAAAUUUUACCCGACUUUGGGGUUCUAGAUAUCUGUGGUUUUGUUUAUUUUUUAAACCUAUACUUGCUGAAAAGUUACCUAAAUGACACAAAAUACCUACUGUUUGACCAAUUGGUGCUAAUGCAAAGUUAGACGAGAAAGUGCAAGGUAACAAUAACGGAUUCUGUUUCCAGAGCUUAGAUGACAUCAUUCCUAGGUAUUAUGAAUAAACAAAAUGAACCAUGUUGGCUUGUGUUCUCUAUGGAAAAAUAAAAUGUGUUUUGGGAGAAGAAAUCAGUACUCUUGAUUGAUAUAAAAUUCAAAUUCAAGUGUUAUCUUUCAAAUUGGAUAUUUAACAGGAAUUUAUAAGUAAAACACUUAGUUGAAGGCCUAACAAGCAAAAAUAUAUACACAAACUACAGAGGAACCUCAGAGUUAUGAACAACAGACUUAUGAACUGACCAGUCAACCACACACCUCAUUUGGAACGAGAAGUAUUCAAACAGGCAGCAGCAGAGACAAAAAAAAAAAAAAGCACAAAUAAAGUACAGUACUGUUAAAAAAA